UGCGCAGGCGGAUUAAUAAGUCGGGGGUUAAAUCCAUGUGCUUAACACAUGCACGGCUUCCGAUACUGUUGAUCUAGAGUCUCGAAGAGGAAGGUGGAAUUUCCGGUGUAACGGUGGAAUGUGUAGAUAUCGGAAAGAACACCAGUGGCGAAGGCAGCCUUCUGGUCGAGUACUGACGCUCAUGCACGAAAGAGUGGGGAGCAAACAG
RNAcentral lists this ribosomal RNA (208 nucleotides) under uncultured Chlorobaculum sp. RNAcentral describes it as "partial 16S ribosomal RNA". It matches the Rfam family "Bacterial small subunit ribosomal RNA", at positions 568 to 775 of the family's 1533-position model. Lineage: Bacteria; Pseudomonadati; Chlorobiota; Chlorobiia; Chlorobiales; Chlorobiaceae. The record is from RNAcentral.